This is a long non-coding RNA of Phyllostomus discolor (pale spear-nosed bat), 1463 nucleotides long. RefSeq lists it as uncharacterized. The record is from RefSeq and is a predicted model, not a curated record. Lineage: Eukaryota; Metazoa; Chordata; Mammalia; Chiroptera; Phyllostomidae. The transcript has 2 exons.
GUGGCGGCCCGCUUCCGCCGCGCCCGCGCCCGCGCCCGGUGGGCUGCCGCAGAGCCUGCGGGACCCCAGCGGCUUCGGGGACGCCAGGGGUGUUAACAUCCGCGGUUAAGGGGGCGGUACUUGUUCCUGUCGAGGCAAAUAAAGCCCGAGAAGGGGAACGCGAGGGCGGGAAGAUAAGGUUUUAUCAGCUCGUGGCUACCCAGAGAACUUUUGAAUCAGAGGAGCUAGGCGCCAACAGAUUUUGCUGUCCUGCCUCCUGCCCCGCCCCCCCCCCCGCCCCCGUUUUUUAGGGAAGGAGACCUCGACACUUCUACACCACUUUUUCUAGACAAAUCUCAGUGCUCCAGAGAUAACUCUGAGAACAGAGAAGUCAUCUAGUUUUAAGAAAAACCGGAUCGCCAGAUCUUCCGCGAUACUCAUUUCGGAAACCACGGUGAUCUGAUUUGAGCAAUACGGUGAGGUCUCGUCCCCGUGGUUUGUGUUGUGUCAUUUUGGAAAAGUUCAGAAUCAAGUUACUAGAAUUGGAACGUUUAGGUAUUCCAGUUUAGUCUUCUCGAGUAUAAAUACAUUUUUUAAAAAGGGGCCCAGAGAGUGAAGUGAUUUGGUCAAACGGUUAAGGAAAGCUAGAGGAAGAGGAGAAGGAGGGGAGAGAUGGAGCCACGAGGGAAGACUGGCAAAUGGAACUUGACAUUUUUUAAUACCAAAGGCAAGGGUUUCAGAGUUUCUUCUUUAGGAAUCAGUAGGAUUUGUCCAAUAGGACACAUGUCACCGAAAUCGACAAGCAGAACAUGAUGAAAUUAUACAAAUUCUAUAUUCUACAGAAAUGCCUAGGUAUAUUAAGGUACAAUCUGAUUUGCAUACACCUUUGAAAGUCUGAUCACGUGCUGCCUGGCCCCUUGAAAACUCCAAGGCCGAGAUUUCCAGCGAACUCUAGCCAGAGCCAGACUUUCCCCAGCCAUUGUAUGGACUCCAAGGGGAACUCAUCCAGCACCCUCCCCGACCCCUCUGCAAAUUCUUUCUUCUUGUGUAGAUGAAUGCUCACAUCACGUGUCUUCCUUUUGCUGUAUUUUCUGACAAGUACCAUUCAGAUGUCGAAACUGAGGCUCAAACAAAUGACAUGGCAGAGACAAGGUUCCAAAGGCCAGGACUGUGCCCACUGCACCCCAAAGGGAAGAAGGAGGUCAGCUCAGUAGGAAGCCUAAGGCUAGUAGACCGAAGGACCUCUCACACCUUGCCUCCCAGGGGCCUACUUAGUGUCUGAUCUACAGGACAUGCUUUUUAAAUGGUUGUUGACUGUUCCUGUUCUCUCCACCUAAGACUCCUGUGACAUCAGGCUGUUGCUGCACUGACUGUCAUUUCACCUGCUUUGCUUCCUUACGGCUCAUCCGUGCAAGCUGAGAGAGAAAACGGAAGACCUUCAGAGGUCUGUCAUCCUUCAGGUCUGAGAGACAGCCAUGGAAAAC